Molecule: ribosomal RNA, 453 nt
Filed under: uncultured Porphyromonadaceae bacterium
Lineage: Bacteria; Pseudomonadati; Bacteroidota; Bacteroidia; Bacteroidales; Porphyromonadaceae
Description: partial 16S ribosomal RNA
Rfam family: Bacterial small subunit ribosomal RNA
Source: RNAcentral
ACGGGAGGCAGCAGUGAGGAAUAUUGGUCAAUGGACGGAAGUCUGAACCAGCCAAGUCGCGUGAAGGAUGAAGGUAUUAUGUAUUGUAAACUUCUUUAGACGCAGAGAAAUAAGGCGCUCGAGAGCGCUGAUGCUAGUAUGCGUAGAAUAAGGAUCGGCUAACUCCGUGCCAGCAGCCGCGGUAAUACGGAGGAUGCGAGCGUUAUCCGGAUUUAUUGGGUUUAAAGGGUGCGUAGGCGGAUGAUUAAGUCUGUGGUGAAAGCGUGCGGCUCAACCGUACCGAGCCAUGGAAACUGGUUGUCUUGAGUGUAAACGAGGUAGGCGGAAUGUGACAUGUAGCGGUGAAAUGCUUAGAUAUGUCACAGAACUCCGAUUGCGAAGGCAGCUUACCAGCAUACAACUGACGCUGAGGCACGAAAGCGUGGGUAUCAAACAGGAUUAGAUACCCUGGUA